GAUGAACGCUGGCGGCGUGCUUAACACAUGCAAGUCGAACGGUGAAGGCGGAGCUUGCUCUGCUGGAUCAGUGGCGAACGGGUGAGUAACACGUGAGCAAUCUGCCCCUGACUCUGGGAUAAGCGCUGGAAACGGCGUCUAAUACUGGAUACGAGCUGCGAAGGCAUCUUCAGCAGCUGGAAAGAACUUCGGUCAGGGAUGAGCUCGCGGCCUAUCAGCUUGUUGGCGAGGUAACGGCUCACCAAGGCGUCGACGGGUAGCCGGCCUGAGAGGGUGACCGGCCACACUGGGACUGAGACACGGCCCAGACUCCUACGGGAGGCAGCAGUGGGGAAUAUUGCACAAUGGGCGAAAGCCUGAUGCAGCAACGCCGCGUGAGGGACGACGGCCUUCGGGUUGUAAACCUCUUUUAGCAGGGAAGAAGCGAAAGUGACGGUACCUGCAGAAAAAGCGCCGGCUAACUACGUG
Molecule: ribosomal RNA, 468 nt
Filed under: uncultured bacterium
Lineage: Bacteria
Description: partial 16S ribosomal RNA
Rfam family: Bacterial small subunit ribosomal RNA
Source: RNAcentral